Molecule: unclassified non-coding RNA, 206 nt
Filed under: uncultured Trechisporales
Lineage: Eukaryota; Fungi; Basidiomycota; Agaricomycetes; Trechisporales
Description: sequence contains ITS2
Source: RNAcentral
AGCCAUCAACUCCUCCCCGUUUUUCGUGCGGGCCGCGUGUUGGACGUGGGGGCUUGCAGCCGCGAGGCCGCUCCCCUCAAAUGCAUCGGUUUGGCCUGUGGGUCAAACUCGACUGGGCGUUGUACAAACCUCGCUCUGGGUCCGAGCCCACCUUUGCGUGCCCUACCCAGACCUGCCUUCUGGAGUGGCGGUCAAACCCUUUUGCA